CCUGCCCUGAGAGGCCUUGCAGCAUGGCUGCUGUGUGACAUGUGUGUCAGUAGGUGUCAGAGAAGAGGGAGGCUAUGUCUAAGCUCAGUGUUCUGACCUGUGGACAUCUGAAUGAUUAGAAGCCAAAUGCU
This 131-nucleotide small nucleolar RNA is filed under the name Mus spretus (western wild mouse). RNAcentral describes it as "predicted gene, 23200 (ENSMSPG00010007153.1)". It matches the Rfam family "Small nucleolar RNA SNORA17". From Rfam's summary of the family: snoRNA ACA 17 belongs to the H/ACA family of snoRNAs and is predicted to guide pseudouridylation of the 28S rRNA at positions U4659 and U4598. It shares the same host gene together with ACA43. The record is from RNAcentral. Lineage: Eukaryota; Metazoa; Chordata; Mammalia; Rodentia; Muridae.